Molecule: ribosomal RNA, 474 nt
Filed under: uncultured organism
Description: partial 16S ribosomal RNA
Rfam family: Bacterial small subunit ribosomal RNA
Source: RNAcentral
ACUCCUACGGGAGGCAGCAGUGGGGAAUUUUGGACAAUGGGCGAAAGCCUGAUCCAGCAAUGCCGCGUGAGUGAAGAAGGCCUUCGGGUUGUAAAGCUCUUUUGUCAGGGAAGAAACGGUGAAAGCUAAUAUCUUUUGCUAAUGACGGUACCUGAAGAAUAAGCACCGGCUAACUACGUGCCAGCAGCCGCGGUAAUACGUAGGGUGCAAGCGUUAAUCGGAAUUACUGGGCGUAAAGCGUGCGCAGGCGGUUUUGUAAGUCUGAUGUGAAAUCCCCGGGCUCAACCUGGGAAUUGCAUUGGAGACUGCAAGGCUAGAAUCUGGCAGAGGGGGGUAGAAUUCCACGUGUAGCAGUGAAAUGCGUAGAUAUGUGGAGGAACACCGAUGGCGAAGGCAGCCCCCUGGGUCAAGAUUGACGCUCAUGCACGAAAGCGUGGGGAGCAAACAGGAUUAGAUACCCCUGUAGUCCCAUGA